This 72-nucleotide transfer RNA is filed under the name Ictidomys tridecemlineatus (thirteen-lined ground squirrel). Its description in RNAcentral is "Spermophilus tridecemlineatus (thirteen-lined ground squirrel) tRNA". It matches the Rfam family "tRNA". From Rfam's summary of the family: Transfer RNA (tRNA) molecules are approximately 80 nucleotides in length. Their secondary structure includes four short double-helical elements and three loops (D, anti-codon, and T loops). Lineage: Eukaryota; Metazoa; Chordata; Mammalia; Rodentia; Sciuridae. The record is from Rfam by way of RNAcentral.
GGGGCUAUAGCUCAGUUGGUAGAGUGCUUGCCUAGCAUGCACAAGGCCCUGGGUUCAAUCCCCAGAACCACA